RNAcentral lists this unclassified non-coding RNA (278 nucleotides) under uncultured fungus. Its description in RNAcentral is "partial contains 5.8S ribosomal RNA, internal transcribed spacer 2, and large subunit ribosomal RNA". Lineage: Eukaryota; Fungi. The record is from RNAcentral.
AACGCACAUUGCGCCCUUUGGUAUUCCUUAGGGCACACCUGUUCGAGCGCCGUUUCAUACAUCUUAGGCUCUGCCUUGUGUUGGUCCCGAUUUGACGUCCGUCCGCAGACGGAAGCUCAAAGGACCGAAAGAGAUCGGCGAACUUCAGCUCUUGGCCGUGUUGCAGUGAAAUGUGACGUUGGCGAACGGAGACCGAAGGUCGGCCAGUUCGGGUGCAGCCCUCGUGGCUGUCCAGAUCGUAUGGCCUCGGAUCAGGUGGGGAUACCCGCUGAACUUAA